RNAcentral lists this ribosomal RNA (89 nucleotides) under Lachnospira sp. RNAcentral describes it as "partial 23S ribosomal RNA". It matches the Rfam family "Bacterial large subunit ribosomal RNA", at positions 2836 to 2925 of the family's 2925-position model. Lineage: Bacteria; Bacillati; Bacillota; Clostridia; Lachnospirales; Lachnospiraceae. The record is from RNAcentral.
CCUUGAAGACGACGAGGUAGAUAGGCAGAAGGUGGAAGUGUGGUGACAUAUGGAGCUGAUCUGUACUAAUAGGUCGAGGGCUUAACCAA